RNAcentral lists this ribosomal RNA (156 nucleotides) under Ruminococcus sp. TF06-23. RNAcentral's name for it is "partial 23S ribosomal RNA". It matches the Rfam family "Bacterial large subunit ribosomal RNA", at positions 2769 to 2925 of the family's 2925-position model. Lineage: Bacteria; Bacillati; Bacillota; Clostridia; Eubacteriales; Oscillospiraceae. The record is from RNAcentral.
CGCUGAAGGCAUCUAAGCGUGAAGCCCCCCUUAAGAUGAGAUAUCCCAUUCGAAAGAAGUAAACCCCCUUGAAGACGACGAGGUAGAUAGGGCAGAGGUGGAAGUGCAGCAAUGCAUGGAGCUGACUGUUACUAAUCGGGUGAGGGCUUGACCAAG